RNAcentral lists this ribosomal RNA (482 nucleotides) under uncultured bacterium. RNAcentral describes it as "partial 16S ribosomal RNA". It matches the Rfam family "Bacterial small subunit ribosomal RNA", at positions 30 to 507 of the family's 1533-position model. The record is from RNAcentral.
AUUGAACGCUGGCGGCAUGCCUUACACAUGCAAGUCGAACGGUAACAGGUCUUCGGAUGCUGCCGAGUGGCGCACGGGUGAGUAAUACAUCGGAACGUGCCCGAUCGUGGGGGAUAACGAAGCGAAAGCUUUGCUAAUACCGCAUACGAUCUACGGAUGAAAGCGGGGGAUCUUCGGACCUCGCGCGGACGGAGCGGCCGAUGGCAGAUUAGGUAGUUGGUGGGAUAAAAGCUUACCAAGCCGACGAUCUGUAGCUGGUCUGAGAGGAUGAUCAGCCACACUGGGACUGAGACACGGCCCAGACUCCUACGGGAGGCAGCAGUGGGGAAUUUUGGACAAUGGGCGCAAGCCUGAUCCAGCCAUGCCGCGUGCAGGAUGAAGGCCUUCGGGUUGUAAACUGCUUUUGUACGGAACGAAAAGGUGCCUUCUAAUAAAGGGCGCUCAUGACGGUACCGUAAGAAUAAGCACCGGCUAACUACGUG